RNAcentral lists this ribosomal RNA (463 nucleotides) under uncultured bacterium. Its description in RNAcentral is "bacterial SSU rRNA". It matches the Rfam family "Bacterial small subunit ribosomal RNA", at positions 53 to 518 of the family's 1533-position model. The record is from RNAcentral.
ACAUGCAAGUCGAACGAAGCAACUAUACGAUCCUUCGGGUGACGAUCUGUGACUGAGUGGCGGACGGGUGAGUAACGCGUGGGUAACCUACCUUGUACAGGGGGACAACAGUUGGAAACGACUGCUAAUACCGCAUAAGCGCACAGUAUCGCAUGGUACAGUGUGAAAAGUUUUUUCGGUACAAGAUGGACCCGCGUCUGAUUAGCUAGGUUGGUGAGGUAACGGCUCACCAAGGCGACGAUCAGUAGCCGACCUGAGAGGGUGACCGGCCACAUUGGGACUGAGACACGGCCCAAACUCCUACGGGAGGCAGCAGUGGGGAAUAUUGCACAAUGGGCGAAAGCCUGAUGCAGCCGACGCCGCGUGAGCGAAGAAGUAUUUCGGUAUGUAAAGCUCUAUCAGCAGGGAAGAUAAUGACGGUACCUGACUAAGAAGCACCGGCUAAAUACGUGCCAGCCGCCGC